AUUGAACGCUGGCGGCAUGCUUUACACAUGCAAGUCGAACGGCAGCGCGGGCUUCGGCCUGGCGGCGAGUGGCGAACGGGUGAGUAAUGCAUCGGAACGUGCCCAGUAGUGGGGGAUAGCCCGGCGAAAGCCGGAUUAAUACCGCAUACGACCUGAGGGUGAAAGCGGGGGACCGAAAGGCCUCGCGCUAUUGGAGCGGCCGAUGUCGGAUUAGCUAGUUGGUGGGGUAAAGGCUUACCAAGGCGACGAUCCGUAGCUGGUCUGAGAGGACGACCAGCCACACGGGGACGGGACCCCGCCCAAGCCCCUACGGGGGGGAGGAAGGGGGAAUUUUGGGAAAAGGGGGGCAACCCUGACCCAGCCUUCCCGCGUGGGGGAAAAAGGCCUUGGGGUUGAAAACCGUUUUUUUGGGGGAAAAAACCUUGUGGGCAACUCCCCGGGGGGGAGGAGGGUACGGGAAAAAAAAGCCCGGGCUAGCUCCGUC
RNAcentral lists this ribosomal RNA (484 nucleotides) under uncultured bacterium. RNAcentral's name for it is "partial 16S ribosomal RNA". It matches the Rfam family "Bacterial small subunit ribosomal RNA", at positions 28 to 507 of the family's 1533-position model. The record is from RNAcentral.